Alligator mississippiensis (American alligator) is the source of this 3508-nucleotide long non-coding RNA. RefSeq lists it as uncharacterized. Lineage: Eukaryota; Metazoa; Chordata; Crocodylia; Alligatoridae. The transcript has 3 exons. The record is from RefSeq and is a predicted model, not a curated record.
GUGGAGAAUCAGAUUCCUUACCCAGAGUUGCUUGAGAUCCUAUAAUACCAGGCAGUUAGUUCAUCCUCCAUAGAUUUCUGAUUAUAUUGCAUUGGUUUCCAUGCAACACUGCACAAUGCUUCCUCCUUGCUUUAGCACAUAAAGGACCCUGUGGCUAAAAUAGCCUAUGAACUCAGCAACAGUGUCAAGUGUCCAUGUCUAGACACAGCAUUUAUAAGCUUUUUCCCACAACAAUCAAGCAGCUGCUGCAGGGAUAGGAAGCUGUUACUAAGGCAAUUUUGUCAUUGCUAGCUCUCUCAUACAGCAAUCCUGUUAUCUCAUUAGAGAAUUACUUCUCCACAGGUCAGGGCAAUACAGCAACCCAGGCUGAAAAAUCACUUGGUAGGUCUGAUGUAUUACAGAGGAUGGUGGGUAGGACUUUGGAAGUGCAUGUUUGGUGUUUUACAUCUGAUCUUUUAUUUUUUGCUGAAGCUGACAGAUGAGAAUACAGUGGGGGGAGUAGGGAAUUGAGAUUGGGGUUACUCGGUAUCCUGGGAAAUGGUAACAAAGGGCAAUACAGUAAUCAUAUUUACCUAUUCUACAGGAAGGAAAGGGCUUCAUAGGAUAUCACAGAGUUUGCUGCUGAGUGUGAGAUGUAUAUCAAGCCAUGGAGGCUUUGAAUCUUCCUAGGAUGCUCAGAGGAUAUUUUGGAGGAAGGCAAUGCCAACAUGGUCAAGUGACAUCAUAUAGCCUUUCCAGUUCUGAAUGUUUCAAAACAGGCUUCCAACAUGAACAGUUUUGGUCAUCUCCGCCUGGCAAGAUACAGACUGAAAAGGUCCAGGCACAGGCAAUGAAAAAAGAAGGUCUGCAUACAAGUGUGCAUGAGAGAGAGUGAGACAGAGAAAGAGACAAAGAGAGGGGAGGAGAGAAGCUGUGGCCUUCCAGGCAGUAAACUCAAAGGGAUAUACUUCUUGCAGCAAAGAGAUCAGGGGCUGGGGUGAUGUGGGUGCUAAGGCAUACAGCUGAGUCUAGGGGUCACAAGUUUGAGGCCAUACUAGAAGUACUCACGGGGUAGCGAUGUCAGAUUCCAACAAGUCUGCAAAUUAUGUUAAAUACCUUGUUACACAAUGACAUGAAAAAAGAAAGCAAACAAAGAGACAAAUCUUUAAGAUUCAUUGCUGCCCAAGGUCAGACAGACAAGCUGUGGGGCUGGAUUUUUAAAAACAGUGGAUGAUUAUGACAACCAGCAUUUAUAGUUAUUACCAAUAAAAAUCAUUGCCUACCAAGAGGUACCGUAUCAUAGCAUCUAAUAUCCCACAAGUAUUUCUUGUUCUGUGUGUAGGGAUAUACUGCAGGGUCUUUGACACAGUGUUAAACAUUGACUCUUUAGCAGUCAUAAGUGACAGAUACUGAUACACAAACUGGAGCAAUGAUAAGGGAGAAAGUAAAUCCUAUGCUUUUAAGAAUAAUUUACUGAAAGCUGGGAAGGAGACUUAUUGCCUCUAUGAAUAUAAACAUUGUACAUAGUAGCUGGAUAAAUUAUGAAGGCAUAUAUUGGCUAUUACUGGAAGCAGGAUAUUUGUCCAUCUACAGCAGUAAUGUGAUUGAGCAUUACAAUACUUUUGUAAGGGACUAGGACACUUUUAUUGAUUCAGGCCUCAAAACCUAAUUUUCUUUAGAAGAGCACUUGUUUCCCUUCCCUGCUUUGAAGGUAGAUUGUUACAGUCCAGUCUUCUCAGCUGUAAGGCUUUGGUUAAUCUUCAUAUGCUGUAUGGAGGCUGGAAAGUUCCUCUAGGGCAGCAGAAUUCACAGGUAAAACAUGCAGUGUUACAAAAACUCAGAUGUGUUAUUGGAACUGUAACUGAGUGAAAAUUCCUUUUUAAAAACUGCUUUUCCCUACCUCAUCCUUUAUGGAGGAUUAGAUUUAUGCUGGACUAGCUGUGUUCAUGAGUUUCUCCUCUAGAUGGAAGCAUAAUGCUACUCUUAGUAGAAAAGUUUUGUUCUUGCGCUGAAAGAUAUUAAACCUGCAAAGCAACCAAAUCAAAAUACCUUGGAUCAUUGUCACACAAUAAAAACGUAGGGACAAGACAAUCUGGCAUCAUUGCAAGUCCUGACUGCAACAAAAUAUUAUGCAGUAUUAACUUGGGUUAUGUCAUUAAUUAAGACUGGACAAAGCAGGCUGAUUGCAUUAGUGGUAGCAUCCUAUUUGUUCCUUGAAACAAAGGAUUGAUACUAAGUCUGAUUUUUCUGGCAUUGGAAGGGGUGGGCUGCAAGAACCUAGCCACAGUAAAUUGCCCCAUUACAGCUGUAUAGUAUGGUUUCAAAUGCAGCAAUGAUUCCAGUGUAUUUGCUAUGACUAUUAAUUAUUUUUGGUUUCCUCUUCUAUUCCAUGCCCUGAUUCUGCAGCAGUACUGAUGUAACAAAAGACCCUUUGUAACAGCAGCAAAAAAAAUGCUGCGGCUGGUUUCAUAUUGUUCAGGGGACACUGACAGAGAAAGCUCAAAGCUAUGUAAUUUUUUAUGUGUAUUGAUAUAAUGCUUACAAACCUGAAAUAUUGCUACCACUUGGUGUUUAAAGCAGGCAUGCCACAAAUUAGCCCUACACUGUCCCUCAGUGCCACUUCAAUCCCUUUGCUCUGCCCAGUCUGCUGCUUUGCUUCUUUUCCUGCCCUGUGCUCCCUGCCCAAUCUGCUGUUGUUUCCUGUUCUCAGCCUUAUCUGCCACUGUGCUGCCUGUCCCCUCUCUGAUCUGCUAUGUGACACGCACAUAAGCUGCUUAUGCCAUGUAUGGCAUGUACCACAGGUUGGCCAUCCCUAGUUUAAAGUGCCCCUAUGCAGUUCUCUUGAUGCAACUAAAACAGUUUCAUCCCAAGAGAACAGAAACUGCUGAGUGCAUAUUUUUAGGGUGUUAGAUCAGUCUAUCUCAUUCCAGUCAAGAGGAGAGAGAGAUCUAGUUCCCAGGGAUCCAAGUAGGAUUUGAAUUCAGGCCUUGAGAGAAGAAGGACCAGCUUUGUGAUAUCAUGUCUCAAUUUUUAAACCACUCAGAUGGCAACAGGUUAUAAGUGAACUUCAUGGCUAGGUACAGACGGUCAAAAAGUCCGGAGGCUGAAUCGAUUUAGUCUUUGCAGGGUGGUCUAAACUGCACAGAUUAAAUUGAAGCAGAAGUGAACAGACAUUUAUUUACCAAUGAUUCAGGAAAUGCAGCUGCCUGCCUGCAGUGACUCAAGUGAGAAGCUGGGGGUGGUAGAGCACAGCUCUCUAGCUGUGUGUUCACUUCCUCUUCCUGCUGCCACUGAGACCUCUGGGAUUUGCAGUCCAAAAUCACAAUACCAGGAUUCUGCAGCAUUGCUCAUCACUUCCUCUUCCUGUUUUCAGGGGCCUCUGGGAUUUGUAGUCCACAGUUGCAGCCAGCAGUAAGUUUGAGCAGGGGAAGGGGUGUUUAACCCCCCCUUCCCUGGCCCCAGACUCCAGCCGGGGUUUGCCCGGGAAGUCAGUUCCCACCCCCCCCAGACUGGGCUCCAUCCCCAGCCA